UCCAGAUCUCCAAAUCUGGAGAAAAUGUUUCAAACCCCACACACAGUCCUAAAUCCCAUAUCUCCUAAAAUUUAUUUCCCCCCAAAUUUUCAACACCCAGCCUACGAAUCCAACCUCUGCCCUUGUCCUGGUGAAUCGUCAAGAGCCGCGAACCACUCCGCCAUGGACCAUCUCGCAAGACAUCCAAUCCCUCACCGAAGUUGUGCCUGAAGGUUGUACAUCAGUCAGUGGCAUGCAAUGAAGUUCGUGGACAACACAGCUGCGAGCUCACGAGCGUUUCCUUUCCGAGGAAUUGCCGCCCCUCGGUGAUGUUCUGUCGCACUGGAAGAAUGAUAUAGGAUGAAAGAAUCAUGGACAAAGAAACAAUCUGAAGGUGAUUCUGAGAUUUCAGCAUGGGUUAGUAAAAGUGGCAAAGUUAGAGAAGAAUAGAGCAUUGUAGCUCUCAAAGAUUUUUGAGGAGCAGAUGGAAUUAUAUUGAAAUAGGUGGCAAGAUAAAAGACAUGGAUUGCGUGGAAGCUUUUGGAACUAGUGUGACAACAUGGGCGCGAAGAACAAUGGAAAAAUGCAAACGCAGAAGUUGAAGAUGUCCACAUACAUGAUGUGCGAGAUUCUGGACCAAAUUGGAGCUAUAAAAGAAAUAUGUGAAGCACUUUUGUUGAGAGUAUGGAGCGUAGUGUUGUUAGUUUGAACAUGUUUUUGUCUUUUUUUGUUUGUUUUUUUGGUAUAUAGAUUCAAGUUUAAUUUUAAGGAGCCUAGUAUAGAUAUAAUACUUUUUGGAUAUGUAAAUAGGUCUGAUAUAUCAUAUUUGGAAUUAAUUUGUAAUACAUAUGAUUAUUAUGAAUAUAUUGUAGUUAUAUUAUAGA
This is a long non-coding RNA of Vigna unguiculata (cowpea), 863 nucleotides long. The record is from RefSeq and is a predicted model, not a curated record. Lineage: Eukaryota; Viridiplantae; Streptophyta; Magnoliopsida; Fabales; Fabaceae.